This 225-nucleotide unclassified non-coding RNA is filed under the name plant metagenome. RNAcentral's name for it is "partial contains small subunit ribosomal RNA, internal transcribed spacer 1, and 5.8S ribosomal RNA". The record is from RNAcentral.
UCUCCGUUGGUGUACCAGCGGAGGGAUCAUUACAGGACUCGCAAGACUCCUACAACCCUGUGAACUUAACUAUAAGCACGUUGCUUCGGCGGGUGUCUCGGAGGGGGUUCUCCCUCCCCGAGACGCUAAACCCGCCGGCAGCCUACUAUACUCUGUCUCUUUGCGUUGGCAUCUCGAGUACAAUCAAACAAGUUAAAACUUUCAACAACGGAACUCUUGGUUCUG